UGAUGUAUGAUCCCCUGGCUGCUAAAAAAGGAAAUACCCUCAUUGCUAGAGCCCAAUUCUAAGGCAUUGUCACUUCUAACAGUCUGAACCACAGCAUUGAAUUGGGUUCUGACCAGAGAAAGAAAUGACUUGAGCAUAGAAAAGGCAUUGCUUUUGGAUCCCAGUAGGUGUGUCCAUGUUGCCCUUGAAAGUCAUCAACAAUUGUAAGGAAAUAUUUACAACCAGAAGAGGUUGGAGUAUGAUAAGGUCCCCAGAUGUCCACAUGAAUCAGUUGAAAGGGUCUAGAAAUCUUAAUUGAACUAUCAGGAAAUGGAAGCCUAGUCUGUCUGGCCAUAGGACAAACUGAACAGGGAAAGGGUUGUUUGGAAGCAAAAGGAAAAGACAUACCAGAAAUACAUUUCAUGUUUGCAAAAGGAGUAUGUGCAAGCCUUAAGUGCCAAAUGUAAUUCACAUCCGAUGUAAAAUCAUUAUUACAGAUGGAAUUAUUCACAUGAGAAGGCAAUGGAACAGCCUUGUUAUCAGACAAGAUGUCAUCAUUACAAGAAACAGACACAGAAGGCAAUGCAACAACUUUGCUUUCAUCACAAGAAGCAGAUACAGGACAAACAGAAGUAGAAGAACAACUAACAGAGGAAGAAGAGGAAGGAGGAACCCAAGCCAGUUUAUAUAAGCCAGCAGCUUCUCUACCAAGAUCCAGAGGCCUCCUCAGAGAAGGGUAGAGGAAGGAGGAACCCAAGCCAGUUUAUAUAAGACAGCAGCUUCUCAACCAAGAUCCAGAGGCCUCCUCAGAGAAGGGUCCUGUAUCAUGUGUAGGAAGCAGGAAUGUUUAGUGAACAAAAGUAUACAAUGCAACUACUUCACUAACUUGUGAACAGAAAUCAAGUUGUGUUUAAAAGAAGGAACUAGCAGUACAUUGUGAAGAGUGAUGGAAGGAGUCAGUGCAAAAGAGCANNNNNNNCAAGUUGUGUUUAAAAGAAGGAACUAGCAGUACAUUGUGAAGAGUAAUGGAAGGGGUCAAUGCAAAGGAGCCUGUGCAUGUCACUUUCACUUUAUAGCCGUUAGGAAGAGUGACAAGAUAUGGCAGAGUUAAAGGUGUGAUGUUAGAAAGUAAAUGUUUAUCAUGUGUCAUGUGAUUAGAGGCACUUGAACCUAUAAUCCAGGUGAUAGAGUUAAUAUUAGUAAGUACACAAAGUUUGGAAUCAGAAAUAGAGCUCUCAGUUAACAUAGUACCAGCAAAGUUUGCAGCAUAUGUGGGAGGAGGAGUCUGAGCAGUGGAGUCCCCAAACUUGGUCUGAUGUAAUAAAGUCAUCAACUGGUCAUAAUCUUGUCUGCUCAACCCUGGUAUCACAGAGGUCUGGCCAUCUAUUCUUGCAACAGAUUGAUGGCUAUCAGGAGGAUUCCCUUGAGGAACAGACAGAAGACCAUCAGAAUGAAG
This 1435-nucleotide long non-coding RNA is filed under the name Nicotiana benthamiana. RNAcentral describes it as "long non-coding RNA (NBEN_LNC008869)". Lineage: Eukaryota; Viridiplantae; Streptophyta; Magnoliopsida; Solanales; Solanaceae. The record is from RNAcentral.